AGAGUUUGAUCCUGGCUCAGGAUGAACGCUGGCGGCGUGCCUAAUACAUGCAAGUCGAGCGAACAGACGAGGAGCUUGCUCCUUCGACGUUAGCGGCGGACGGGUGAGUAACACGUAGGUAACCUACCUAUAAGACUGGGAUAACUUCGGGAAACCGGAGCUAAUACCGGAUAAUAUUUCGAACCGCAUGGUUCGAUAGUGAAAGAUGGCUUUGCUAUCACUUAUAGAUGGACCUGCGCCGUAUUAGCUAGUUGGUAAGGUAACGGCUUACCAAGGCAACGAUACGUAGCCGACCUGAGAGGGUGAUCGGCCACACUGGAACUGAGACACGGUCCAGACUCCUACGGGAGGCAGCAGUAGGGAAUCUUCCGCAAUGGGCGAAAGCCUGACGGAGCAACGCCGCGUGAGUGAUGAAGGUCUUCGGAUCGUAAAACUCUGUUAUUAGGGAAGAACAAACGUGUAAGUAACUGUGCACGUCUUGACGGUACCUAAUCAGAAAGCCACGGCUAACUACGUGCCAGCAGCCGCGGUAAUACGUAGGUGGCAAGCGUUAUCCGGAAUUAUUGGGCGUAAAGCGCGCGUAGGCGGUUUUUUAAGUCUGAUGUGAAAGCCCACGGCUCAACCGUGGAGGGUCAUUGGAAACUGGAAAACUUGAGUGCAGAAGAGGAAAGUGGAAUUCUAUGUGUAGCGGUGAAAUGCGCAGAGAUAUGGAAGAACACCAGUGGCGAAGGCGACUUUCUGGUCUGUAACUGACGCUGAUGUGCGAAAAGCGUGGGGAUCAAAACAGGAUUAGAUACUCUGGUAGUCCACGCCGUAAACGAUGAAUGCUAAGUGUUAGGGGGUUUUCCGCCCCUUAUUGCUGCAGCUAACGCAUUAAGCACUUCGCCUGGGGAGUCGACCGCAAGUUGAAACUCAAAGGAAUGACCG
This 927-nucleotide ribosomal RNA is filed under the name uncultured bacterium. RNAcentral describes it as "bacterial SSU rRNA". It matches the Rfam family "Bacterial small subunit ribosomal RNA", at positions 8 to 915 of the family's 1533-position model. The record is from RNAcentral.